ACUUAUUGGUUGCGGCAGGAUGCAUCAUUGUCAUGGAGAUAGUAUAUAAAAUGGACUUCUCGUUACUCGGCUUUCUUGUUUGUGCUGCCAUCUUGGGAAUCGGCAUAUAUGAAGCUACAUCAUUGGAUCGUUCUAGGAGAGAUUCUUUCCAAGGCUCAAGCUCCAAUGGCAUCUUGGACGAUCAAGUUGAAAUGUCUCCACUUCCUACUUGAUGUGCGAUAGCUAUCAUACUUUUGACUCUUAACAGUGAUGCAAAUGAGGAGAAACAUGUUUUCCGGAUACUCCUUAUUGUGUCGUGGUAAUUGGCCUGAAACUAUUUAUAAUAUCAGUACUUCCCAGUUAUGCCCAAAUAUCAAGUGCCUGGAAUCAUGGAGAGCACAUCAAAGAAUAUACAUAACA
RNAcentral lists this unclassified non-coding RNA (399 nucleotides) under Hevea brasiliensis (rubber tree). Lineage: Eukaryota; Viridiplantae; Streptophyta; Magnoliopsida; Malpighiales; Euphorbiaceae. The record is from RNAcentral.